UACGGAGGAUGCAAGCGUUAUCCGGAAUGAUUGGGCGUAAAGCGUCCGCAGGUGGCAAUGUAAGUCUGCUGUCAAAGCGUCUGGCUCAACCAGAUAAAGGCAGUGGAAACUACAUAGCUAGAGUAAGGUAGGGGUAGAGGGAAUUCCUGGUGUAGCGGUGAAAUGCGUAGAGAUCAGGAAGAACACCGGUGGCGAAAGCGCUCUGCUGGACCUUAACUGACACUGAGGGACGAAAGCUAGGGGAGCGAAU
RNAcentral lists this ribosomal RNA (250 nucleotides) under uncultured bacterium. RNAcentral's name for it is "partial 16S ribosomal RNA". It matches the Rfam family "Bacterial small subunit ribosomal RNA", at positions 524 to 773 of the family's 1533-position model. The record is from RNAcentral.